CUGAUCCUGUCUAUGGUCCACAACACCCACUGUCCACUGUCAACGUGACAUCUUAACACAUACUGUAUUUAUGUUUACACCUGCGCAUAAUUGUGGUACUAUCCGGGGCCGGCUCUACGAAGGGGCAAGAGGGGGCAGCUCAAAUCAAAAUUUUAGAAGUUAAGACAACAUAUUUUAAUAGAUUAUCCAAACAAAGAAUGUGAUAAAUGUUAACGCAAUUAACUCUCUCUCUCUCUCUCUCUCUCUCUCUCUCUCUCUCUCUCUCUCUCUCUCUGUGUGUGUGUGUGUGUGUGUGUCCUGGAUCACCUGGCCAGUUGGCGUUUUUUCUGCCGUUGUUGGCUUACGUGUUUUGUCAUUGGCUGCGUCGUGUGUCGUCAUUGACCCUCAGGGAGGAGCGCAGAGAGGCGGAGAAACGAAGCCGGAAAACAGAUUAAAACCAGCGUUUGAAGCGUUGCCUCGGUUUGUUAGUUCUGUGAGAAAACUUAAUUACCAAAGAAGCCUGGAUGCUAAAACACAGUUGUAGUUGCUUUUUUAUUUUAUCGAACACAAGUGAGGCUGGACGCUGAACACACCUGUGGUGCGAAGGUAUCACCACUUUGUCCACGACAUUGUCUACGAUCACAGAGACUUUGUGCAUGAUCAGAGAGACAUUGUUGAGGAUGAGGGAGACAUCGUUCAUGAUCAGAGACAUUGUCCAUGAUCGCAGAGACCUUGUCAAAGAUGAGAGAGACGUUGUCCAUGAUCAGAGACAUUGUCCCAUGCUUCGUAGAGACCUUGCGAUAGAAUCGGCGGAGACGGGGGUCACCGAUUUGACGGCAUUGCCCGCGAUCAUGGAGACAUUGUCGAUGAUCACAGAGGCACCGUCUAUGAUCUCAGAGACAUCGUCCACGAUCACAAAGUCAUUGUCCAUGAUCACAGAGACUUUGUCCAUAAUCUCAGAGACAUUGUCCACGAUCGCAGAGAGUCUUUGUACACUGAGGAAGUUCUUUGAGACCAGGACUGAGGCCUCCAGGCGUCACCACAUUGUCAACAUCAUCGUUUACGAUCGCAGAGACUUCGUCCAUGAUUGCAGAGACAUUGUUGAGGAUGAGGGAGACAUCGUCCAUGAUCAGAGACAUUGUCCAUGAUCGCAGAGACCUUGUCAAAGAUGAGAGAGACGUUGUCCAUGAUCAGAGACAUUGUCCCAUGCUUCGUAGAGACCUUGCGAUAGAAUCGGCGGAGACGGGGGUCACCGAUUUGACGGCAUUGCCCGCGAUCAUGGAGACAUUGUCGAUGAUCACAGAGACACCGUCUAUGAUCUCAGAGACAUCGUCCACGAUCACAAAGUCAUUGUCCAUGAUCACAGAGACUUUGUCCAUAAUCUCAGAGACAUUGUCCACGAUCGCAGAGAGUCUUUGUACACUGAGGAAGUUCUUUGAGACCAGGACUGAGGCCUCCAGGCGUCACCACAUUGUCAACAUCAUCGUUUACGAUCGCAGAGACUUCGUCCAUGAUUGCAGAGACAUUGUUGAGGAUGAGGGAGACAUCGUCCAUGAUCAGAGACAUUGUCCAUGAUCGCAGAGACCUUGUCAAAGAUGAGAGAGACGUUGUCCAUGAUCAGAGACAUUGUCCCAUGCUUCGUAGAGACCUUGCGAUAGAAUCGGCGGAGACGGGGGUCACCGAUUUGACGGCAUUGCCCGCGAUCAUGGAGACAUUGUCAAUGAUCACAGAGACACCGUCUAUGAUCUCAGAGACAUCGUCCACGAUCACAAAGUCAUUGUCCAUGAUCACAGAGACUUUGUCCAUAAUCUCAGAGACAUUGUCCACAAUCACAGAGAUGUAGUCCACGAUCACAGCGAUGUUGUGCACGAUUGCAGAGAGUCUUCAUACAAUGAAGUUCUUUGAGACCAGGACAGAGGCCUCCAGGCCUCACCACAUUGUCAACAUCAUCGUUUACGAUCGCAGAGACUUCGUCCAUGAUUGCAGAGACAUUGUUGAGGAUGAGGGAGACAUCGUCCAUGAUCAGAGACAUUGUCCAUGAUCGCAGAGACCUUGUCAAAGAUGAGAGAGACGUUGUCCAUGAUCAGAGACAUUGUCCCAUGCUUCGUAGAGACCUUGCGAUAGAAUCGGCGGAGACGGGGGUCACCGAUUUGACGGCAUUGCCCGCGAUCAUGGAGACAUUGUUGAUGAUCACAGAGGCACCGUCUAUGAUCUCAGAGACAUCGUCCACGAUCACAAAGUCAUUGUCCAUAAUCACAGAGACUUUGUCCAUAAUCUCAGAGACAUUGUCUGCAAUCAAAGAGAUGUAGUCCACGAUCACAGAGAUGUUGUGCACGAUCGCAGAGAGUUUUCACACAAUGAAGU
Molecule: long non-coding RNA, 2343 nt
Organism: Lates calcarifer (barramundi perch)
Lineage: Eukaryota; Metazoa; Chordata; Actinopteri; Centropomidae
Exons: 5
Source: RefSeq, a predicted model, not a curated record